UCUCAUUACAGAUAAGAACAAAGAUAGAAUUGUAAGAAGGGUUGCUUAUAAGAGCAUAAAGUACAUCUGAAACUGCUGAGGCUGGGAAGGUUUUUGACUAUAUUUCCGACCAGCUGCUAUAGAAGACAAACUGAAAUCUGAGUGCAGAGACAAGCAAAGGAAUACUGCAAGGCACUUGUGCAAAAUAUUGUAUGCCAGGACGACUAGGCUGUGCCCAGGUCUCCGAAACCUGCGACGACGCUCAGCUCCAUUGGCCCUCCAUCUACAUCUUGGCUCCUCCCUCCCUCGACUCCACCGUGUAUUGUCAGCACUGGGAUGCUCUGGGUCUGUGCCAUGUGCCAAACUCCAUCUAAGCCGCCAGGGCAUCAUCGUCAUCCUCCCAUCACCAUCCCUUCACCACAUCCUGCCAUCAUCCCACACCUUUGCCUCUCACCAUUCCUACACCAUCUCCUCGUCCACCUCCAAAACCCCCUCCAUCCCUCCCUAUUCUGUUGCUUGAACUUUAUCUUCUUCAGUCU
Molecule: long non-coding RNA, 518 nt
Organism: Onychostoma macrolepis
Lineage: Eukaryota; Metazoa; Chordata; Actinopteri; Cypriniformes; Cyprinidae
Exons: 3
Source: RefSeq, a predicted model, not a curated record